UACGUAGGGUGCAAGCGUUGUCCGGCAUUAUUGGGCGUAAAGAGCUCGUAGGCGGUCUGUCACGUCGGCUGUGAAAACCCGAGGCUCAACCUCGGGCCUGCAGUCGAUACGGGCAGACUAGAGUUCGGCAGGGGAGACUGGAAUUCCUGGUGUAGCGGUGAAAUGCGCAGAUAUCAGGAGGAACACCGGUGGCGAAGGCGGGUCUCUGGGCCGACACUGACGCUGAGGAGCGAAAGCGUGGGGAGCGAACAGG
RNAcentral lists this ribosomal RNA (253 nucleotides) under uncultured bacterium. RNAcentral describes it as "partial 16S ribosomal RNA". It matches the Rfam family "Bacterial small subunit ribosomal RNA", at positions 524 to 776 of the family's 1533-position model. The record is from RNAcentral.